AGAGUUUGAUCCUGGCUCAGAAUCAACGCUGGCGGCGCGCUUAACACAUGCAAGUCGAACGAGAAAGGGGAGCAAUCCCUGAGUAAAGUGGCGUACGGGUGAGUAACACGUGGGUAAUCUACCUUUUGGUGGGGGGAUAACCCUGGGAAACCGGGGCUAAAACCGCAUAAGCUCGCUAUUUUAAAGAUGGUGAGGAAAAGAGAAAUUUGCCGAAAGAGGAGCCCGCGGCUGAUUAGCUAGUUGGUGGGGUAAAGGCCUACCAAGGCAAUGAUCGGUAGCCGGCCUGAGAGGGCACACGGCCACACUGGCACUGAAACACGGGCCAGACUCCUACGGGAGGCAGCAGUGGGGAAUCUUGCACAAUGGGGGAAACCCUGAUGCAGCGACGCCGCGUGAGCGAUGAAGCCCUUCGGGGUGUAAAGCUCUUUCGGCAGGGACGAUAAUGACGGUACCUGAAGAAGAAGCUGCGGCUAACUACGUGCCAGCAGCCGCGGUAAUACGUAGGCAGCGAGCGUUGUUCGGAGUUACUGGGCGUAAAGAGUGCGUAGGCGGUUGUCUAAGUUUGGUGUGAAAUCUCCCGGCUUAACCGGGAGGGUGCGCCGAAGACUGGAGAGCUGGAGUAUGGGAGAGGUAAGCGGAAUUCCUGGUGUAGCGGUGAAAUGCGUAGAUAUCAGGAGGAACACCAGCGGUGUAGACGGCUUACUGGACCAUAACUGACGCUGAGGCACGAAAGCGUGGGUAGCAAACAGGAUUAGAUACCCUAGUAGUCC
This 770-nucleotide ribosomal RNA is filed under the name uncultured bacterium. RNAcentral's name for it is "bacterial SSU rRNA". It matches the Rfam family "Bacterial small subunit ribosomal RNA", at positions 8 to 796 of the family's 1533-position model. The record is from RNAcentral.